Molecule: long non-coding RNA, 1535 nt
Filed under: Strigops habroptila (Kakapo)
Lineage: Eukaryota; Metazoa; Chordata; Aves; Psittaciformes; Psittacidae
Description: lncRNA (ENSSHBG00005005324.1)
Source: RNAcentral
AGUGAAUUGAAUUAUUUUUAAUAUAGUACAUACAGUAAAUAUGUUAUCACCAUUUUGCCUAAAAAUUACUGUCUUCUGCAUUUGUUUAUUUUGCACUGAACUAUGGGCUCAGUUCUUCUUUUAAUUCACAGUGAGCAGUAUUUUCUUCCCAAGAAUUCCGUAUGUCAGAGGGAUUACACUAUGUGAAGAAAGAAGACAAAACGGCUUUUAGUUCAGAAAAAUAAAAAUGUCCCAGGGACAUUAUAUAAUGAGGAAUCCCAAACAGUGCCAAUAGGAACAAUACAUAUACGUUAGUGAAGAAUAGAUCCAUCACUGUGCCGACCACAGUGUGAUAUUUUCAGUAUUGGCAUUUCAGUGUGAAAAUAUUGAUGUUUAGUCUUCAGUCCACAAAUGAACCCAGGAAAUACACACCAACAGAACCAACAGUAUACACCAACGAACGGAGCUUUGUGAUGCUGAUAAUGUUCUGUUUUAUCACUGAAAAAAAAGGAAAUCCAAAAUUUGAGAAGUAUUAGUGAACAUACGCAUGUCUGAUUAAGUAAUUCUCUUUUCAAGGAAAUCACUUUUCUUAGCACAUGAAGAAAGAAAACAAACCUUCAAACAUAUUUUUCUGAAAUCUGUCUUUUUUUUGCAGCUUUGUUUUUGUUGUUGUUUUGUUUUUUGGCAACCUUGUUGAUGUGAAUGAGUUGGAUGAAAUAUGCAUUCUGUGAAGGAGAUCUGGGACCUAUGCAUUGAAGUGAGUGCUCAAAACACUAGCUUACAGAACUGCAUUCUUGCAUUUCCUGCAAUAAACAUAUUGUUAAUUAUUUUUUUCCAAAUCAAAUCAAAUUCAACAGGAAGACUGGUGCAUGCCUCUCAUUCCCAGCACAUACCACUAUCCACACCUAAGGAAAGCUUCCUUUGAGGGAACUCCUUUGAGGCUUUGACCCUCUCAGACUAGUAACAGCCAGAUGAGUGUUCUUUCUCACUGCUAAGCCAUGAUAUCAAAGAUCAGACUCAUUACUACUGUGGAUUCAAAAAGGAAAGCAGUUUUGUUCAACUGAUAAUUCAAAAAUAUCAUGUAAGUCACUUCAGGUUUGUGUUAAGAGCAUUUAAUUUGUACUAGCCACUCAUUUUGAUUACAAGAAAAUUUUAAACCUCAGGGUAAGUAUAUUUUCCAUUCUAAUUUAGAAGACUGAGUAGGACUGCAAAUAAAAGUAAGGGCAACGUUCCUGGUCAACCUUGUUAUGUUUGCUUUGGUACUAAUAGUUAAUGAUCAAGGAAAGGAAAAAUAGAAGAGUAACAGUUCAUGAAAAAAAUCAGUGUUCACUAAUGAUUGAUUAUCAACUAGUUACUGGAAGAUCACUGUUAAAAAGUUUUUCAUAAGUAUUCAUAACCAUUUGAGAUUAGCAAAUAUUUUUAAUUUUUAAAAUAUUGCUUUGUUUUCCUUUACAGAGUGAACAUGUAUGCUGCUUUUAAUCUAUUUUACUGAAGAUAUAUAUAUAAAUAAUAGAGAGAUUUAGGUGUGCAUUAAGAAACAAAAACUCUAUUUGACA